Long non-coding RNA from Crotalus tigris (Tiger rattlesnake), 1061 nucleotides. RefSeq lists it as uncharacterized. Lineage: Eukaryota; Metazoa; Chordata; Lepidosauria; Squamata; Viperidae. The transcript has 3 exons. The record is from RefSeq and is a predicted model, not a curated record.
CAGAAAAUCUGUGACACUGACAGGGUUGUUGAACUUCAACUCCCAGUAAUCCUUAUCUUGGACCAGGCUGACUGGGAUAAUUGGGAAUGGAAGUUCAGUAACACCAGAAAUACUAUAGAUUGCAAACCUCCAGAUUACCACAUUGAAGAAACAAUUUCAAGGCUCCACUGAACCAUGAUGUUCACUGCAGGACAUAGUGCCCACCUCUAAUUUUGAGGCUAGCCGAUCUCAUAGUACAGAUGUGAGAAGAAAAAUGAGGGGGAGGGGCAGGAUAAAAUAUGGAUGAUGUAUUAUGUUAUUUGAAGGGAAGAGGGAUUUUGAUGUAUCUGUCUGGAGUCCCUUGUCUGUAAACACAAAUGGAAUCCUGAUGCAAAUUCCAUUCAAUCAAAGCAGACUGAUUCAGAGAAGAAUAUGGCAGAUGUUAGGGACCAAUAAUUUACAUAAUCUGCUUUCCUUGCUAGUAUUGAAAUUGUAUUAAACAAAUACUCUGUGACAUGUAAAACAGGUGGAAAAUUCCUUUCAGCUUAGUAGAUAUAUAAUAGAAAAGCCAUUACUCAGUGGUCAAGGAGAUAGUGGUAGGGGAAUUGCACAUGACUCAAAGAGAUUGGAAACCAAAUAUUCAAUGGCCCAAUAUUUGGCUUUUCCUUUUCUGGUCAAAGGCUUAACACACCUUUUUCUCUUUAAUUUCUAGGUAAAUCUUGACUGGGAAUGCACAAUGCCAUGAUUUGGGGUUGAUUACUGCUGAAUUUUGAUGAUAUGAACUUGAAAAGGUCUUGGAAUCUCUAAAGAAAAGACUGUGUUUAAAUUAAAACAACUGUGGAGAACUCAGAAGGAAAUGCAAAGUGUCAUAGCUGUUGAACUAAACACCGCUCUCAAAAGAGCCACCAAGACCAAAAUAUCUUCCCUUGUCAAGAUUACAUGGGUCGAGGCAUUAAGCAGACACACAUUGUGUGAACAAGCUUCCUUUAUUGAUCUCUUCUCUCAAUCAGCAAAAAGCAAAACGGCUCACAGGUCUUUUAUAGUGUCAAAAACUCAGAGAGUGUCAGCCAAUAGAAAUCUGG